AAAAGAAGCAGAGGGGGCUUAGUGGUGGGGUGACUGCGUACCUUUUGUAUAAUGGGUCAGCGACUUAUAUUCUGUAGCAAGGUUAACCGAAUAGGGGAGCCGGAGGGAAACCGAGUCUUAAUUGGGCGUUAAGUUGCAGGGUAUAGACCCGAAACCCGGUGAUCUAGCCAUGGGCAGGUUGAAGGUUGGGUAACACUAACUGGAGGACCGAACCGACUAAUGUUGAAAAAUUAGCGGAUGACCUGUGGCUGGGGGUGAAAGGCCAAUCAAACCGGGAGAUAGCUGGUUCUCCCCGAAAGCUAUUUAGGUAGCGCCUCGUGAAUUCAUCUCCGGGGGUAGAGCACUGUUUCGGCUAGGGGGCCAUCCCGGCUUACCAACCCGAUGCAAACUGCGAAUACCGGAGAAUGUUAUCACGGGAGACACACGGCGGGUGCUAACGUCCGUCGUGAAGAGGGAAACAACCCAGACCGCCAGCUAAGGUCCCAAAGUCAUGGUUAAGUGGGAAACGAUGUGGGAAGGCCCAGACAGCCAGGAUGUUGGCUUAGAAGCAGCCAUCAUUUAAAGAAAGCGUAAUAGCUCACUGGUCGAGUCGGCCUGCGCGGAAGAUGUAACGGGGCUAAACCAUGCACCGAAGCUGCGGCAGCGACGCUGAUGCGUUGUUGGGUAGGGGAGCGUUCUGUAAGCCUGCGAAGGUGUGUCGUGAGGCAUGCUGGAGGUAUCAGAAGUGCGAAUGCUGACAUAAGUAACGAUAAAGCGGGUGAAAAGCCCGCUCGCCGGAAGACCAAGGGUUCCUGUCCAACGUUAAUCGGGGCAGGGUGAGUCGACCCCUAAGGCGAGGCCGAAAGGCGUAGUCGAUGGGAAACGGGUUAAUAUUCCCGUACUUGGUGUUACUGCGAAGGGGGGACGGAGAAGGCUAUGUUGGCCGGGCGACGGUUGUCCCGGUUUAAGCGUGUAGGUGUGUGUUCCAGGUAAAUCCGGUUCACUUUAACACUGAGGCGUGAUGACGAGGCACUACGGUGCUGAAGCAACAAAUGCCCUGCUUCCAGGAAAAGCCUCUAAGCAUCAGGUAACAUCAAAUCGUACCCCAAACCGACACAGGUGGUCAGGUAGAGAAUACCAAGGCGCUUGAGAGAACUCGGGUGAAGGAACUAGGCAAAAUGGUGCCGUAACUUCGGGAGAAGGCACGCUGACACGUAGGUGAAGUGAUUUACUCAUGGAGCUGAAGUCAGUCGAAGAUACCAGCUGGCUGCAACUGUUUAUUAAAAACACAGCACUGUGCAAACACGAAAGUGGACGUAUACGGUGUGACGCCUGCCCGGUGCCGGAAGGUUAAUUGAUGGGGUCAGCGCAAGCGAAGCUCCUGAUCGAAGCCCCGGUAAACGGCGGCCGUAACUAUAACGGUCCUAAGGUAGCGAAAUUCCUUGUCGGGUAAGUUCCGACCUGCACGAAUGGCGUAAUGAUGGCCAGGCUGUCUCCACCCGAGACUCAGUGAAAUUGAACUCGCUGUGAAGAUGCAGUGUACCCGCGGCAAGACGGAAAGACCCCGUGAACCUUUACUAUAGCUUGACACUGAACAUUGAGCCUUGAUGUGUAGGAUAGGUGGGAGGCUUUGAAGUGUGGACGCCAGUCUGCAUGGAGCCGGCCUUGAAAUACCACCCUUUAAUGUUUGAUGUUCUAACGUGGACCCGUGAUCCGGGUUGCGGACAGUGUCUGGUGGGUAGUUUGACUGGGGCGGUCUCCUCCUAAAGAGUAACGGAGGAGCACGAAGGUUGGCUAAUCCUGGUCGGACAUCAGGAGGUUAGUGCAAUGGCAUAAGCCAGCUUGACUGCGAGCGUGACGGCGCGAGCAGGUGCGAAAGCAGGUCAUAGUGAUCCGGUGGUUCUGAAUGGAAGGGCCAUCGCUCAACGGAUAAAAGGUACUCCGGGGAUAACAGGCUGAUACCGCCCAAGAGUUCAUAUCGACGGCGGUGUUUGGCACCUCGAUGUCGGCUCAUCACAUCCUGGGGCUGAAGUAGGUCCCAAGGGUAUGGCUGUUCGCCAUUUAAAGUGGUACGCGAGCUGGGUUUAGAACGUCGUGAGACAGUUCGGUCCCUAUCUGCCGUGGGCGCUGGAGAACUGAGGGGGGCUGCUCCUAGUACGAGAGGACCGGAGUGGACGCAUCACUGGUGUUCGGGUUGUCAUGCCAAUGGCACUGCCCGGUAGCUAAAUGCGGAAGAGAUAAGUGCUGAAAGCAUCUAAGCACGAAACUUGCCCCGAGAUGAGUUCUCCCUGAGACUUAGAGUCUCCUGAAGGAACGUUGAAGACGACGACGUUGAUAGGCCGGGUGUGUAAGCGCAGCGAUGCGUUGAGCUAACCGGUACUAAUGAACCGUGAGGCUUAACCUUACAACGCCGAA
This 2394-nucleotide ribosomal RNA is filed under the name Salmonella enterica subsp. enterica serovar Johannesburg. Its description in RNAcentral is "partial 23S ribosomal RNA". It matches the Rfam family "Bacterial large subunit ribosomal RNA", at positions 563 to 2925 of the family's 2925-position model. Lineage: Bacteria; Pseudomonadati; Pseudomonadota; Gammaproteobacteria; Enterobacterales; Enterobacteriaceae. The record is from RNAcentral.